UCCCACCUUCUAAUUAAGUCGGUCGCUUCUCCCAUUCUCCCAUUUCCCACAACUGUGUUGAAAAUUGGACGUGACCUUUGUAGAAGAUUUCAUCAGCAGAAAUAGGUGAAACUUCAAAUUUUGUAUUAACAAAAGCAAAUUCAAAAUCAUCAUCACCGUUUUCAUCCUUAUCCAGUUCAGCUUUCUCUUUCAAAAUCUGUGCACAACUGAAUGUCUCAUUAUUAUCAUUGAAAAAAAAUUCGAAAUCUAUUUCAUCUUCAGUGUUGGAUUCUUCGAUAACUCUAACAGCAAUUUCGGUGAGAUUGGUGUUGGAAUUAUAACUUGGAGACUUCAGGGACAACAUCGGUUAUCAUUUCUUUUCUACAAGGAGAUAUUGAUAAAGGAGGCAGUUAAGCUUACACCCAAUAUAUAUACUUUGACCAUUAAGAAACUGAAUUUGAGGAAUUGAAUAGGAAGGUAGCGAAGAUUACUGAGUUGUAUCUUCAAGAAAGGGCUGCAAGGGAAGAAGAGGCAAAGCGAAGGGAGGAAGAAGAUAGGUGAAGAGAGGAAGAGGAAAAGCGAAGGGAGGAAAAAAUGAGGCAAAAGGACGAUGCAUUAAAACUUGUCACUAGUGAUGCUAAAAGUCUCAAGUCUCAGAUAAACUCCCUCUUAGCAUCUGGUGCAUUUUCUGUGCCCCGUUCUCCACCAUAUGAUGAUAACUAAGGAGUAGUUUCUUUUAUUAGCUUGUCUUGGAUGGUACCUGGAUGUUGAACAUUGAAUGUUGGAUUUUUUUGAGUUUUUGUUCUACUUUCUGAUUAGUUGGAUAUUGAUUAUGAAAUGGAUUGAUUAGUUGUUGUUUAUGAAAUGAAUUGUAUUGCAUAUUGAA
Molecule: long non-coding RNA, 865 nt
Organism: Nicotiana tabacum (common tobacco)
Lineage: Eukaryota; Viridiplantae; Streptophyta; Magnoliopsida; Solanales; Solanaceae
Source: RefSeq, a predicted model, not a curated record